This 496-nucleotide ribosomal RNA is filed under the name uncultured bacterium. RNAcentral's name for it is "partial 16S ribosomal RNA". It matches the Rfam family "Bacterial small subunit ribosomal RNA", at positions 29 to 523 of the family's 1533-position model. The record is from RNAcentral.
AUUGAACGCUGGCGGAAUGCUUUACACAUGCAAGUCGAACGGUAGAGGGGGCAACCCCUCGAGAGUGGCGAACGGGUGAGUAAUAUAUCGGAACGUGCCCAGUCGUGGGGGAUCACGUAGCGAAAGUUACGCUAAUACCGCAUACGACCUGAGGGUGAAAGCGGGGGAUCGCAAGACCUCGCGCGAUUGGAGCGGCCGGUGGCAGAUUAGGUAGUUGGUGGGGUAAAGGCCUACCAAGCCUGCGAUCUGUAGCUGGUCUGAGAGGACGACCAGCCACACUGGGACUGAGACACGGCCCAGACUCCUACGGGAGGCAGCAGUGGGGAAUUUUGGACAAUGGGCGAAAGCCUGAUCCAGCCAUACCGCGUGCGGGAAGAAGGCCUUCGGGUUGUAAACCGCUUUUGUCAGGGAAGAAAUCUCCUGGGUUAAUACCUCGGGAGGAUGACGGUACCUGAAGAAUAAGCACCGGCUAACUACGUGCCAGCAGCCGCCGUAA